Leucoraja erinaceus (little skate) is the source of this 922-nucleotide long non-coding RNA. RefSeq lists it as uncharacterized. The record is from RefSeq and is a predicted model, not a curated record. Lineage: Eukaryota; Metazoa; Chordata; Chondrichthyes; Rajiformes; Rajidae. The transcript has 4 exons.
GUUGCUACAGAAAUAAAGAUGCGGUACAAGGAACGAGAAGUGGUCGGCCGAAAGAUGACUCCAAGCUCUCCGAGAGAAGAGAAUAUAUUGAACGAACAAGACGAACCAACUAAAGAUCCCGGUGAGAAGACAGAAUAUUGAAUUGAAGCACGUCUCCGGAAAAAAGGCAAAGGGAAAGAAACAAGACCAAUCGGCGUCUUGAUUUCUCCUUGGAAUUACCUGCUUGAAUUAUGAAAAUUGCUUCUGCAAUAUGUAUAAUCAACUGAGAUAUAUGCAUUGGUAUUAUUUGAAAAAUGAAAUUCGCUAUGCCAACCUUUAAAAUUGCUGACAAAAUACAACGUGGUAUAAGUAAUCUGCAUAUGUUAAGGUAAUGCAUUUUUCGUGUUUGAAUGCAGAUACAUGCAUUCUCCAACAUAUUAGCCAUAAGAUUCAAGCCCCCAAGUAUAUUGGAAUUUUCAGGCUCAUUUACCUGAAUUGAAUUAAUGACGAGGUGGCACAAUUGGCGCAGGUUCAAAUAUAUGAUGCUUUAAUGCGCGUAUAUCGGAGACAAUUGCGUGUAUUGUCAUUAAAUUCAUUCAUGUUUUUAAAUUUAAGGAUUUUAAUCAAUGUUUAGGUGUGUGCCACCAAUUACACAAUCAUAUUAUUCAUAGCGUUGGUGUAACAAAAUCAAUGUCAUUUCUGGAAUUGAUCUGUGCAUUUCUGUUUAACUAAGACCCUACUCUACUUGCCUCCUCUUGCAUUGUUAGCCCCUGCCUGCAACAUUGCAUUUAUUUGCAUUAUGUGUUACUGCCUUGCGGUCCACUAUUCGGAAGCGCCUAAACGCUGCCAUCCGUGUUUUACAUCAUGUUAUGUUUUACGAUCUCUUAAAAGAAACAGACAGCGACUAAGCAGUCAACCGUGGUAUGGGAAAUGGCUGAGCAGA